CCGUGCAAAGAUCACGUGAAAUUGCUUUGAUACCACGUGUGACGACCCGGCCGGACCCUAGGGCGAACCAUAGGGUUAAGCGGAUCGCUUGUCUGACUUUUGCCAGGAGUCACUCACUCACAUUAACUUGAGAGAUAACAUUCCACUAACUAAAACCAUUAACCGUCCAUUACACUUAAUUAAGUACAUUCCAAAAUAAGCAAAGUUGUCUUAGCCUACAACAUUUUAUAUGUAUAUAUCCCUUGAAGAUAAAAGUGAGAAUAACUAUAACAUUUAAGUACAAAAGAAAUCUUCCAAGUACAAAUUCGGGUCUCAGUUUAACUCUUGGCUACUCCACACUCCCCUCUUCCCCUCCUGUAAGGAAAACAAAUAAAAUGGGUUGAACAAAACCCAGUGAGGUUUCCAUACAAGCAACAAUCAAUUAAACACUUAAGCUAGUAACAAAAUUAAGCAAGUAAGGAACACUUCACUGAAUAAAGUAAAGAACACUUCGCUGAACAAUCACUUUUAAAAGGAUACAGUGCUCACAUUAGAGCCACUUCAAUGCACUACAUGCUUCGCCGAACUCCUCCUCAUAACCCCCACUUCCCUCACUCAAAUGGCCAUAUCAGUAAUCUGCUAUUCCGUGGUAAUACUUGAGCAUACCGAAUCAUUUACCCAAAGCUACCAUCCUAUCCGACCAAACCCUUUGCUGGCUCGAAUAAUCUGUUGAACAGAGGAUUUUGGGGCCCAGUUCAGCUGAUGCGGUAAAGUACAUACUCGGCUUACAAUCAUGUACACCUAUGGUAAUACUUGGUCAAUUAUCAACCUUCAAACUCAAACUAAGUUGGGUACAAUAAAGUACACUCCCGACUUAGAAUGCAAGGAACAAUUGAAAACACUUUACAAUAAAGCACUAGCAAAAUCACAUAAACAUCACUUAAGUAACACAUAGGCAAUUUAAACACACAAAUGUGAAAACACCCACCCAAAGUAGUUGGAGUUCACUCCUCACUCCUCAGUACUCAGUCCCUCCUCCGGAUCACUCUUGGCCUCUGGGACAUUUGUAAAUUUAUUAGAUUAUUUGUUAAAUUUCCUAAAGCUGGGAUUUCCAACCAUAUAUCUUUACCAAAAUUUCAUUCAAUGCAUCAGACAUUAACCAAACUCGACAUGCAUUCACAUAAACAUUACAAUAAGACCAUGUAGCUUCAAAAUCCAGCAAAAAUUUCUCAUCAAAUUCCAUUUUUAAACUAAAAUCUCAGCUAAUGCUCCAUCGGACAUGUCGCGCCCCACUUUUUGAAUGGAUGUUGUUUGUGGUGGUGUGUGAGGCCCCAGUUCGUUCUACGUCAAGAUAUUCAUUAAAUGGGCGGUAACGUUUGGUUUUGGGAGUAUUUCGAAAACCCUAAGUAGGGAUUAAGAUUUAAACCCUAAGUUCCGGUUAAGAUUGAAAACCCGUUUUUCUACAUUUUCUUUAUUAGAAAAUGCCCCAGAUAAUUUUAUUUGAGUAAAUAGAGUUUUUAGAUGAUUUUUCUAGUAUUAGUUAGUUUUUGAGGAAUUAAGAACGUAUAUCGGACGUGGGACCCACUAGUGCGAAAAGUUCGGAAAAAUUCGGCCAAUAAGGUUAAGUUUCGGAUACUGUGUAAAAUUUAUCGGGUGUUAAGAGAUAAGUGGAGUGUGUGAAAUGAUUGAUGUGAGAGAGAAAAGAAAGGAUAGGAAUGCAUUAAUGGUGGUGACAAGUGUCACCAUUUCAUUGGAGAAGACUUAUGAAUUACUAUUUCAUUUUUUUUGACUUUUGACCAAGUUGUUAAAUAUCUUCAAAAAUCACCAAAAUUCACCAUUUUCUUUUCCCUCCAAGGCCGGCUCUCCCUUGGGCUAAGAAGAAAGAAAUACCACACCAUUUUAGCUUCCAUUUGGUUCAAUCUUCCAAAAACAAUUGCCUAGAUUAGUUCUACUCCAUAAAAUCUUUCUAGUUGGUGUUAGUGGUUGAUUUGGUGAAGCUUUUUGGAAGAGUUAAGGUGUCCAACAUCUCUACCUCUCUUGUUACUAGGUGAGUGGUGUGUGUAUCUUCCUCCUUCACUUAAUAAAGCUUAGGUUAUGCUUAGUAGUGGCUAAAGUGAUGAUAUAUAUGGUUUAUUUCUUGGUUUGAAGUGAUUUGGUGAAGUUUUUAUUUUAUUGAUGAUUUUUCUGGUUUAAUUGGAUUAUGAUGGUGUGGUUGGUUAUGAUGAUUGGCAAUGGCCUAUAAAGACUCUAAUAGGUGUGAAUUAGUGAUAAUUGCAAUCAAUUUUGGAUUUGGAAGAAUUUCUGGAAAAUUAGGGUUCAUGGUUGGACAUUCUGUCCGAAAUUUUAGGUCAUAGAUAGAGGCCGAAUUGGACUUUGCUCAAAACAUGAAAGUUUUAGGUAUUGAUGAGUUUGAUGUGCCUGCAAAAUUUCAGGGCAUUUGGAGUAGUAUAGAGUGAGUUAUGCCGUUUUUACUGUUGCUGUUUUUGGUGAACAGAAUGUCCGAACUGCGAUAGUAAUUGCCUGUUUUGACUGGAAUUGGUUUGGAUUUUGUUGUUGGUGUCUUCUGAUGAAAUGUAUCUUGAUGUCUUAACUUUCAUAUGCCUUUAGAAUCAAUGCAUUUGGACCUGUAUAGACUGACUUGGACUGAUUACAGUUUUGUGUGAUUUGGGAACCUGCAAUUACGGUUCUGGGUUGGUAUUCUGCAUAUUUGACCUAGUUGUGCUAGGAUUUGGACUGAGAGGCCUUCUACAUUGUUGUAGCCCCUUAAGUCCUGGAUAUCCCUGUAAAUUUUCAGAAUUAACGGAGUGGUAUAACCUGAGUUAGAAACGAAAUACUCCGACCUGUUUUGACAGUCCAAUUCUGUUCUGUUCUUAUAUCCGGACAGUUUACGACUGGAACUUUGGCUUCACUUUUGACUAGGUUACAAGCUGUUUGGGCUUGCGACCAAAACACCAAACUUAUAGCUCUAUAUCAGAGCUUUCUAACGCCCUUGGAAUUUCAUGAAUCGGAUUUAUAAAACCUGAGAUAUAGCCGAGCAAAUAAGGCCUGCCCGUGAAAAUGACCAUUUUCUGGUCAGAUCUGUUUUGGUCCGGAUGACCAACUUCCGUUCCGAAUUUGGAUUGCCGACCUUCAUGAAAGUUGUUCCAUUUGGAAUGAACUACCUAACUGCCAAUUUUCAACUCUUUUUCCCAUGUGUAGCAUAGAAAACAGUUUGCACUCAAAACUGACCAUUUGUGCAUUGGCCAGAUUUCGUAAGUGAUUGUGUUCGGUUCAUUUGGGGCUGAAGCCUCCAGUUUCAGUUCUGGAUGUCUUCAUAACAGUUGUUGUUCAUCCUUUAAGCUUCGAUUUGGCAUCUCAUACGCCUUAAUCCGAUAUUCGUAGCUCAACUUAUGAUUACAAUAGAAACGAGUAUCAAAUCUGCCGUUUCCGUUUCCGUCCGUCAUAUUUACGUGCGCGCGUGUCAUUUUGCCGUUUUGCUUGUUUUGGAUCUGUUCGUAGUCGUUUGUGAUAUUAUGUGAUAAAAUCUUCUAUUUCAGACCGUGGUGAGUUAGGCGGAGCCGGUGGGGCCCACUACUAGCGAAAACGCGCGAAGCGAUUUUGUUCUUGUACUGCUUUUGGUAUUUUGAGUAAGUAUUCAGGCCAGUUUGAUGUGUUUUCUUUGCUAUGUGGUUGAGAUAUGUGAAAAGGGUACUUAGGCGAGGGUGUACUUUAUCGCACUCGACCUAAACCCUAAUUUGAAUGUAUAAUUGUACUUGGCAUAUGUAUAUGACCCUUUUGGAACCAAGACCAUUGAGCUUGUGGCUCGGGGUGACUUUUGAAUAAUUUUGUGAAGUUUGUGAGUUUGCGGUUGAUCUUCCGACCUAGAUGGACUAUUCGAGCCGGUCAGGGCUUGGUCGAAGUCAGUCCAACUUAGUCUGAGGUGACCAAGUUUGUGGGUUCAUGUUAUGAACCAAUUUUGUGAAUCCGGUUCACCGAGAAGGUGACCAAGUUUGUGACCCGAGCUUGUGACUCAAGCUCAAGUUUGUGAUUUCGUUCGCCCGGGCAAGUUUGUGAGGUGACUGGCCAGUGAGGGUGAUAAGGUGUCGGUGGGUGUACAAGUGAAGUUCUACGGACCAUUGAGUGUGGUCGACGGAGUGUCGGCAGGAGAUCAUACAUGGCACAUGAAUUGGCUUUGGAGCCACCCGUAUCCUUAUUAUAUGAUGUUGAUCUUUUCUGCUUUUGCUUUACUCUUAUUGUGUAAUUGUUGCUAAGUGAAUUUAUGCUUUUGCCCCUGUUUACUUACUAAGCUUCUAACUUACCCCGUUCUCUUUGUUUUCCUUAGCAGGGGCCGACACGGGGACUUUUGGCUCGUAUACUAGUAUAGUUAGAUUGGCUUGUAAUAGUUGAACAGUUAGGAUGUUUGUUUUUAUUUUGGUGGUUUAUAUAAGAACCCUUCUUAGGGUCUAUCUUCUGCUGGUGGUGGUUAAAGUGUAUUAGAGUGGUUUGACUCGAGACUCCUGAAGUUUUUUUUUGGGAUUGUAUAUAUUGUGUAUAGUGCUCUUUUGAUCUAUCUCGUUUUAUUGCUUUAAGUUUUGAGUCCUGGCGCGAGCUAGGCAGGCGGCCCGCCGAUACCCUUGGGUUCGCCCUUGGGAGAAGUGGGGUCGUCACAUGGUGUGUGAAUAGUGUGGAAUAUAUGAACGUGUGAAAAGAAAAAUAAAAGGCCAUGGGACUUUAGAAUGCGACGAUUUGGCCAAAUGAAAUUUAAAAAGGGUUUUCAAAUAUAAAAACGGAGUCGCCACUUGGUAUAGAUUUAGGGUGUACCAAGUCACCCAAAAAUGAAUUUUUAAAGACAAGCAGUAAAAAACCCUUUUUAAAACGACUCCUAGUCCACGUAAACCAACGAAAAAGGUUCGGGAGUCACAUUUGACGAAGGGGAAGGCAAGGAUAAAAAUCCAAGGCACCCCUUCGACCUAGCCAAGGCUAGUUGCGUGAUUUAGCCCCACCUUUCCCAAUUUUUCUACCAAAAAUAUGUAUUGCAUGUUUUGGAUUUGACUAGAUGAAUGCAAAAAGAAAGAAAAAAUGCAAACCUAAAUUCUAAAAUGUCUCUUGUAAGGUUUUUGGUCCCAACCACAUGAGUUGCGGCGGCCAAUGAAGGAAAACCUUAUAGAGGUCGAUUAAUGCAAAUGAUGGCUAAAGUGCAAGUGUGCAAGUGUAUAAAAAGAUGCACGUGUGAAAUUGUAUAAAAAAUCCAAGUAUUUGUGUGCAAGUGUAUGAAAAGGUGCAUGUGUGAAAUUGUAUGAAAAAUCCAAGUGUUUGUGUGCAAGUGUAUGAAAUAUAGUGAUAAGUGCAUAUAGGUGUAAUUAAGUGCAAUUUUGUGAAGUAGAAAUCAAAAUGAACAAUAAGGAAAAGAAAAGUGAUGAGGAAAUGUGAAUUGGAAAAAAAUGAGUAAGUGAUAAAUGAGAAUGAAUGAACCUAAAGGAAUGCAUCAGGUCGGGUAUGGGAAUGACUCCUAACUUUUUCGACUUCGAUUUUCCCUUUGAUUAGAAAGCAAAACUAGCGUGCUAAGGCUAUCGAGUAGCCACACUCGCUCGUUUCCCUUAUCAGAAGGGGACUCUUCAGGCAAAUGUACCCUAACUAGCAUGAGAUGCAAGACCUAAAGUGAAGGGAAAGGGGAAUCGAGGAGCAUGCCAGAUGAUAAAACUAAGGAAAAAUGCAUGAUAUGUAGUGAACACGCAAAUAUGCACUAUCGAAAGGGACGGCCUAUUGGGUCUAGCGUUGGACUAGCCCUUUCUAUGAAUUCCUACUAGCAUUGGACUAGUGGAAACGGAACGAAGAACCACAACUAGCGUUGGACUAGUGUGGUGACGGGAAAGGGGGCCACAACUAGCAUUGGACUAGUGUGGUGACAUCCAUUCAUCUAUCACAUUCAUUCAUGACUAUAAAAAAGCGAGUAGACAUGCGAAUCACUUAUAAACACGUAGCACAUAACACUUAGCAUGCUUGACUAGAUGCAAAGGCCUAAUAAAGCAAAUUAACACAUAGCAACUAAGCAUGCAAAACACAUAAGGCAAUUAAGGCCUUUAACUAUUACAAUUGCUAACUAAAACAAAAGGGGAAAGGGAAAAUGGACCAAAUUGCUCGCCAAGCCCUAUCUAUUACAAGCCAAGAGGUGUACACAUACCCCAUAAUGAAUAACGCAAAUAAAAGGCAAAAGUAAAUGAAGUAAAUGAAAGGAAUUAAAGAAAGGCAAAGAAAGCAACGUAGACAUGCAAUUCACACUUAGCACGUUGGAUCACAUAGGAGAAAUGAAAAUCAAGGAGAUAGAGGUUACCUCCCUUGCAAUUGGCGCCCUAAUGAAGUAAAAAUGGCUUCAAAACAAUAAAAAGGUCAAGGUACCACUUUAUUUAAGAAAAAUUGAAAGAAAUGUGCAAAACAAAACUCACUUGAUCGUAAAGUCCCUAAAGUCAUGACUUAAGCGCACUUGAAACAAAGCAUGGUAGUCAAUUGAAACAAACAAACGAUGAAGUUGCACAAAUUAAAAUUACCAAGGACCAAAUUGAUGAAAUUAUUUAAUUGAUUGGGUCCUAGUGGAACAAGGAGAGACUUAGGGGCCAAAGUGCAAAUUUUUCUUUUGGUUUUCAUGCAUGCAUACGUAGAAGGCUGAAACCUUCUUUACUUUCUGCAAAAUUCUGCUGCAAGCUUUUGCAGCUUCAAACCAUGCGUAUUUCAUACCAGAAAAUGCACAAAGUUCAUUGUUUGUCAACCCAACUCAUAUGAAUCCCAAUAUCGCCAACUUUAAGCAAUAAUUAUCUAUCAUUAGUGAUCCCAACAGAGAGCAUCCAAGCAAGAAAACAAGGAAAGAAAACAGCCGAGAUUCUCAAUCUUUGCUCAAAACAUCAAACCAGAAUAUUCAAUAAAACAUGCUAAACAACCGGACCACAAAACAACCAAAAUAUUAGACAUCUGUACAAGGAUUUUCAAGGCAACAUCAUACAAUCCAUGAGGAUGCUUGCUGCAAUUCAAACAUGCUGCCAUUUCACUUUCGCACCCAAACUUCAGAUUCAAACACACACUUCAAUCAAACUUUCUUCACUAAACAUCAAAGCUCUGAUCUAGAUAGUAAGACCACUGGAAUUAAACAUCUAAACAUGCAAAAAUGAACCCCAGAAUAGGAUCACUAAGCUUUAUAGCUUUCUCCUUUAUGAUACCCUUUCACUGCAACAUUUCUGGUUGCUGUUUUUUCUUACUCCGGCACUGAACAAUGCAGCAACCAUUUACGCGCAUGAAUUCCAACAAAAGCCAACCAUUUGCCAAUUUAUCACCAUAAAAGGCAAAGCAAACAGAUCAAAACCCAUUAAAAUCCACAACCCAGCGUUGGAAAUGCAACUGCCUAUCCUAAAAAUCCCACUAUGCGGCGGGGUAAUAAAAUGCAGCGCAGAAAAAGAGAGCUUGCUGUAAGCAUAAAGUUCCAACCACACACAUACAUGCUUGGAAAGCUUAAAGAAUUAGCAUCUGAAGAAGCCCAGGGUUUAAAGGAGAGAAGCUUACAGUGACUUCUCUUUUGUUAAAAAUCUUGACUGAAAAUGGCGUAGUGAGUGAUGACCACUUCUGAGGAGGUCAGCAGAUGCAAUAAUUUCUGGGCUCGCCGAAGAAACAAACCAGAUUUCGUCUUCCUCCUACUGUUCCUCCGUAGCCUCCUGUUUUUGUCUAUUCUCUCAACCUCUCCGCCGUCACCCAGUUUCUCUGGUUUCUUUUUUCCCUUCUGGUUUGCAACCGUCACUCAAUCAUUCUCUCGUUUGGCUCCACUUUUGCUUCGGUGAGGAGCUGCUGGUGGCGAUGGAAGGCUGGCCGUCGUGAAGGUGUUGUCAGCUCCAGUAGCAAAACCCUCCUUUUCUUCUCACCGUAGCCCUCUUCCCUCUCUCUCCCAUUUUUCUCUCAAGCUUCCUGCCGUCCACUGUCUCUAAAACCUCCCCUCGCUGUUCUUUUCUUCUCCAGUCUCCCGUUAGCUCCCCUCUGGUUUCUUUUGCUCAACCUUUGCUCGAUGCUCCCCUCCUCCGACUCUCUCUCCCAGUUCUCUCUAUCCGUCCCCCAAAACUCCUUCUUGCGGCUACCUUUCCUUUUCUUUUUAUAUCCGAAUCCCCAACCCUAAACAACUUUCAUAAAUUGCAGCUAAAGGGCUGCCUGGUCCUCAUUUUGCAGGCUGCGGCAAUACGCAGUUUCAUGCCGCGUUUCUUUUCCUUUUUUUUUUUUUUUUUUAAAACUUAAAUAACAAAAUUGAAAAUAAUUAAAACCAGAACAAUUUAAUUAAUAUUAGAAACAACAAAAUGCAAAUCCAAUCUUCCUUUUUCAUUUUCCAUCAUUUUUCUUUUUUUCCCUUUUUCCAAAGAAAUUCUAUGCUAAAAACUAAAACUAGAAAUUAAAACUAAAUUCGAAUAAAACUAACACGCUAAAUACAAAACUAAAAAUAAACAGUAAAUGAAAUUACACCAAAAAUUUGGUGUCUACAGUUUGCCCCUUUUUGUCUGAGUUUUGGAAAAACUUGAGGCAAAAAAGUAGACACCAAAUGCUUACCUGUACCAUUCAGUUGCCCCUAUUCGGAGGACUGACCUAAACAAGGAAUUUCAAACAUGGGACUGGCCCGAACAGAAUUGUAAACGGGAUAGACCCAGACAGAAAUGUAAAUGGAAUAGAUCCAAACAGAAACGUAGACGGGACUGACCCGAACAGGAAUUUAAACGGGACUGACCCGAACAGGGAUUUAAACGGGACUGACCCGAACAGAAAUUUAAACGGGACUGACCCGAACCGAAAUUUAAAAUCAUGGGACUGACCCGAAUAAGCUUUUAAUCAUGGGACUGACCCGAAAUAAGCUUUUAAUCUUGGGACUGACCCGAAAUAAGCUUUUAAUCAUGGGACUGACCCGAAUAAGCUUUUAAUCAUGGGACACUAGUGGGACUGACCCACGGCUAAUGGCAAUGACAAAUGAAAGACACACUAGUGGGACAAAUCCAACGGCUAGCGGCGAAUGCAAAUGAAAGGCACACUAGUGGGACAAACCCAACGGCUAGCGGCAAAUGCAAAUGAAAGGCUCACUAGUGGGACAAACCAACGGCUAGCGGCGGAUGCAAUUAAAAGGCACACUAGUGGGACAAACCCAACGGCUAGUGGCGAAAGCAAAUGAAAGGCACACUAGUGGGACAAACCCAACGGCUAGUGGCGAAAGCAAAUGAAAGGCAACGGCUAGCGGCAAAGCAAAUGAAAGGCACACUAGUGGGACAAACCCAACGGCUAGCGGCGAAUGCAAAUGAAAAGCACACUAGUGGGACUGACCCACGGCUAGCGGCAAUGUAAAUGAAAUGCACACUAGUGGGACUGACCCACGGCUCUAGUGGCCGUGAAAAUGAAAUGCACACUGGCGGGACUAACCUCUGCUCCAGUGGCUGAAAAUGAAAUGCACACUGGCGGGACUAACCUCUGCUCCAGUGGCUGUGAAUGAAAUGCCUUGACAAUCGGACAGUGGGAUUAAACCCGAGCCUGCCAUGAUAAUCGGCCAGUGGGAUAAUACCCGAUCCUGCCGAGGUUGGCGGGAUGAAACCCGGUCCCAACGAAGUAAGCGGUCAGCGGGAUAAAACCCGGUCCUGCCGAGGUUGGCGGGAUAAAACCCGAUCCCAACGAAGUAAGCUGUCAGCGGGAUAGAACCCGGUCCUGCCGAGGUUGGCGGGAUAAAACCCGGUCCAAACGAAGAUAAAAGCGGUCAGCGGGAUAGAAACCGGUCCUGCCGAGGUUGGCGGGAUAAAAUCCGGUCCCAACGAAGAUAAAAGCGGUCAGCGGGAUAGAACCCAGUCCUGCCGAGGUUGGCGGGAUAAAACCCGGUCCCAACGAAGAUAAAAGCGGUCAGCGGGAUAGAACCCGGUCCUGCCGAGGUUGGCGGGAAACCCGGUCCCAACGUGAUAAAGUGAAGUUGGCGGCACGAAAUCCAGGCCCAACGUGAUGAUGGAAUGUUGGCGGCACGAAAUCCAGGCCCAACUUGAUCUUUGAAAUGUUGGCGGCACGAAAUCCAGGCCCAACGGGAUUUGGUGAAUGGUCAGUGGGAUAAGACCCAGUCCUGCCAUCCAAUUGGUCAAGAAAUUGAAUUUGAUUUGUCAAGAAACAAGAAAUUAAAUUUGACUUUCCAAGAGACAAGAAUUUGAACUUGAUUUUUGAUUUUUGACUUUUGAAUUUUUCUGAUUUUUCGAGAGAAUCUUUUUUCCAAAAAUAAUUUGCCCCCAGGGUAGGGCCCUUUUCCCUUCUUCCUUCUCUUUCUUCGGCAUCGGCCUUCCACAUCGCCAGAUGCUCUUUCGUCGAUUUCAACUAUGAAUACCUGCACAGGGGGCUUUCAUGCAUUCAAAUUUUCAUGUAAAGGGCAGCGUGAUUGAUUUGAAAGUCUUGCUUGACUCUUUGAUGAAAUCCUCAAAUGGACUAUUAAAAUUUGCCCCAGUGUGGGCUUAUUUUGUGAAAUCUUGGAAAUAAAAAUUUUGCCCCAGUAUGGGCCCAUUUGAUUGCAAAAAAUUGGUUUGGAUGUCUCUCCAUUCAUUUUGAACAAAAGCAAGAAACUGUGUUUCCUAUAUAAUGUGAAGAAAUCUGAACGUCUUGCUUAAAAUCACACAGGAAAUUUCAUGAUGAAUUUCUCAAAAUAAUGCCAAAUUACAAAAGAUUUCUUCCUCACUUUAGCAUCGAUGCUUUGGGUAAGGGGUGUUACGUCCGAUUUGGAAAUGGGAGAUCAAGAUUUGUCUUAUUCAUGUGCUCAGAUGGUAUGUAAUCCCUUCAAUACCACAUCUUAGUGAAAGCAAAGAGUUUGUCACCCUUAUUUCUUAAGAAAACUUAGUCAACGUAUAAGCUUCAAUGGCUUGCAAAAUUUUGGGUAGAAAUGAUAGCUAAACAUGUGAAAUCUGGUUAUACCCUUAUGAUCAUGAGUGAUCGAUGGAUUUUUAUGAGCAUAAUCCUCACUUUGGAUUGUCAUGAAGGAAUAAGUCAACGAUGGACUUUAUUAGCUUGUAAUUUGGCUUGAAAACGAUAGCUAAAGAAAUAAUUUUCAAAGGACAUUGCACCGAAGAUCGCAUUUUUCGACAUUGCCCUCAUCUGGACUCCAGAUUCUUGGACUUUGUUUGACUUUUUAUCAUCACCCAACAGGGUCUUUCAGCAUCAAAUCUUUUUGCAUCUUUCUUUUGCAUUCAUUUCACUCGUUUUUCUUUUCUUUUUCCCCCUUUUUUCAAAAAAUACCCUCGCGGGGCUUCACAUGAAGAGCAGUGUCAACCCACACCUAAUCAAUUCAGAAAUACAGCUAAAAUUUUUGACAUCAGAGAUUUCCUUGACAAGGCCAGUGCAAAGAACAGAAGUCAGGACUUUCGGCUUUGUAAUGGGGUCAGGUGGGGUGCUUAGAAAAGUUAAGGCUUGAAGGCAGAUUUCAAGAGUGGUUUAAGUAAUCUGAGAUCGCAUUGUUGUGCCAACCCUAUUUUAGGGUUAAAUCAGGAUUUGCCCCAAUUUAUGCUCACUUGAGGCUUUUUCUCUUUCGUUUUCUUUCUUUUUGAUUUUUCGGCCUUUUGCCAUUCCUUGAAACUUCACAAAAUUUGCCCCAAUUUAUUUUUUGAACUGAGGUUCUCUUUUCUUCUUUUGCAUUUGAUUUUAUUGCUUUUCACCUCUUGGGACUUUUCUUUUCUGUUCAACUCAAACUUGCCCCAAUGUGGGGUUUGCGAUUCUCAGGGGUUGCCAAACGAAAUAAUGAGAAAUUUCUGGCAUGUAUCUGAAUUAACUGACUGAGGAAGACCCUUGUUCAUCCAUACUUGUGAAACGUAGGCGAACCACGCGGACAAAUCUCUUCCUUUUCUUUUUUCUUCAAAAUUAGAACCUAAGUGGAAUCAAAUUUCUCCAAUUUGCGGUUCCCUUUCCCCUUGUCUUUUUUCCUUUUUUUCAAAAUUUCCCCAAUCCCCUUCCCCAAUGUGGGGUACGACCAUAAGUGCAUUAGAAAAGAACCACCAAUUUUAGCUCAAAAUGAGGAUGCAAGGGGUGAUCAGUGUUUAGGUUGUAGAAACGACGGCCAAAGCAUCAUUCUUACACCUCAUGACAACCCAAGUAACGAAAUGGUUAUUGAAAAUCCAUUCCCCUUUUUGAUAUUUGAAAAUUUUCCAAUAUAGGGUAGUGAUCAUUAGGGCUCUUAUUUGAAACGAAAUUAUUCUUUCAUAGGCUCAAAUGGGAGAGCAAGUGAUAAAAAUCUGUAUAGGUAGUGAAACAAAUGCUCAAAGUAUCAUUCCAAAUUUUCAAAACAAACAAGAAUAAUGCACAUUUUUGCUUUCACUUAGAUGUGAAUUGAAUCUGGUUAAACCGAUGGGGAUUUUUCCAAGCAAAGAUUGUCCCAAUUUGCAAUUUAUCAAUCAAUGUGACUGAUUUUAUUUUGGGGUUAAAUGAAGGAGAAAAGGUAUCUCAUUGGGCCUUUUGAGUGAUCGCUCACCCUUUUUCUUUCUGAGCACUCUUAUUGUACAACUCGGAUCACCAAUCUAGUGUACGUAUGGAUUUUAGAAAGCAUACACUUAUGAGUUUCCAGGCUGGAGGUUGAGGAAAACUCGAUUUGGUCUUAUUUCUCAAAAUUCAUCAUAAAAUCUCUAAUGAAUAAGAAUAAAGAAUGAAGUGUACAUAAAUUUACACAAAACACUAAUUGUCCAAAACUUUAUUGCUGAAACAGUUUGAAACAAAAAUUUCUCGUUCAAUUACGAUACAAAUGAGGAGGGAACUUCUAAAGAGCUCCACAUAUACACUUUUCGUCUCCUUUUCUUUUGGAACAAAAAUGUAUUAACAAAUCAAAUAUACAAAACUUUCCUUGAAAGCAAUUAUGAAAUCUCGUAGAAACUCUUAGCCUAGAGCUUUCAGAUGGAUCUUUCAUGUUACCAUUGUUGGAUCUGCCCAAGAAUCAAAUAAUACUUUUUCGAACUUUACCGGAUCAAAAAUUGUUAUCCAAUAUAGGGAAAUAUUUUCACCUUAUUGAAACAUUUUAUGAAUGCAGGGGAGGGGGAAAAAAAGAAAAAUACCCAGAGUUAGUAGGCAAGACUACAAAAACAGUAUGCAUGUCUUAUGGGGGAGCCCUUUUUGUGCCAAGGGUAGGCCUAGCAUGAAAAUGCAAUCCUCCAGAGUAGGCACUAUACAAUACCUGAUGGAUCCAAUCAGCUUAUGGAGUGAAAAAUAAUUUGAAGAAUUUGGCCCAUUGGAAUGAGAAGAGACGUUUGUCAAAAUGAGGACCUCGUCCGAAGGGAUCGAUCACUUUUGAUCGAUACAAGAACUUUGCAAAAACGCACGGGUUUGACCUUGACGAACUUCCUAUCGAAGAGAUUGGAAUUCGUUUUGAUAACUUUCCUCAGUGAAGUACGGGUCAAAACUCCAACUGAUCAAAUGGCUGGAUGUAAUGGAUGUUUUUCUCAAAAUCGACUCGGUUUUCCAUUUUGAAAUUCGACAUUGAAACCCUAAUUGGUCAAGUGAAAUUGACAAUUUAUUAAAAAUCGACCGGAUUACCCUAAAAAGGGAAACAGGUCAAAUGAAUUGAAUGAAAUUUAAUUUAUCCAAAAUUAAUCAGAUCAUCCUAACAAGGGUAAAUCGAUCAAAUAGAUUGAACGAAACUUGAUUUAUUCAAAAUCGGCUCGGUUGCCCUAAAAAUGGGUAAAUUGGCCAAAUGAAUGAAAUUGAAUUAGUGAUUUAUUCAAAAAUCGGCCGAAUGACCCUAAAAAGGGUAAAUUGGUCAAAUGAAUUGACGAUUUAUUCAAAAUCGACCAGGUGACCCUAAAAAGGGUAAAUUAGUCAAAUGAAUUGAUGAUUUAUUGAAUGAAUCGGCAAGAUGGAUUGGUUGAAUUGUCCGGCCAUUGGUUAUUUCAAAAUUAUUGAGGUGCAUUAGUCUAUGACCUUCUAAAAAUCAAAUUUUGGCCUCAAUUUAUUUAUCGUCUCAAUUGGAGGAAUCAUUUGUGAAUUUCUUCAAAUUAAUGUCCUUCACGCAAGGGAUUUUUACCAAUUUUGAUAAAAUGGCCAAAAAGUGAUUAUUAGAUGCUCAUAUUCCAAAGAUCACUCUAUGAAAAUGAUCGGAUCCUACCUUACCUUGUGCACUACCCCUUUGGACGGUACAAAAUGUAAACGUGCAAGUCUCAUUGGAUUAUAUAUCCGAGACACAGGGCAGUCAUUCCUAGCACGGGAUCGCCUAAAUGGCAUUCCCUUCCUAAGGUUUAUGCAUGAUGCCAUUUUAUUAAAGCAGUAAAAUAUGCAAUUCGAAAUGAAACAUGACCUAAGGGACCCUUUAUUACGCCAAGGUAGGCUUAGAAUGCUAUGCAAUUAUUAAUCUAUGAAUGCAAUAUCCCAAAAUCUUUAAACGUGCAAUAACCUAUCUACGAGGGUAGGUUCUAAAAGAAGGUCAUGCCAGACCUCUUAUUUGCUAGGGUUUGUGAAUGCAAUGGGGACACAAAACCAAGAAAAGUUAGUUCAGCCAGAUAAAUACACAUAACACAUUGUAGCAACGAAAUCAAUAAAGCAAUAAAAGGGAAAGAGGAGUUGGAUCCCUCCCCUCGUGAAUCGUGUCCCUAAUAGGGUAAAGCAGACUCUACCUUAGGCAAUUCUAAUAUGGAUGCAUGAGGUUGGGGUUCGCUAAUGCAUCUAGACUCGACAAGCUCAGGUCCCCGAGCCUUCAGACUUAGAAACCAAGGGUCAUCAAUCCCAAGGUUUUUUGUCGGUGGCUCGAGCGAUUCCCCAAACACCGCUACGCACACAUCGUGUCGCGGCUACGUGUUUGAGUGAAUCUAUCAAAAUUCCUCAAUCUUCCAUCAAAAGCUAAAAGCUAUGAACCCAAAGCUUAAAGUGGAAGAUCGAGUGACUCCUCGGAUCAUGCUACGCACACAUCGUGUCGCGAUCACAAGUCCAAGUGAGUCGCCUAAAAUCCUAAUAGGGUGGAGUGGCGUGACAAGCCACUAAAAGGAAAAAUAAAGGGUAAGAAUUAAAGCGUAUGCACGUAUGCUUGUGUUUGUUUGGAGGGGAGGGAUCAAGAACCCACGCGAGGCUCUAGGGUAUGUCCCCCACCCAAAUGCAAUGCAAAGCGCUACAUGAAACAAAUAAAAUAUACAUCCAAUCAACCAAUCAUACAUUCGUGAGCGAGGGAGUAGUUUGAGACGUACGUGAGACAAAAAGGUCCUAAAAAUGGAAGAUGCAACCCUAAUAUCCACAUGUCAUGCAUAAAAAGGGUAGAAAAAAGAAACGAAUGGCUAAGUCAAAUGCUUGGACCCACUUAGGAAGUCCCCAGUGGAGUCGCCAACUGUCGCGCCCCACUUUUUGAAUGAAUGUUGUUUGUGGUGGUGUGUGAAUAGUGUGGAAUAUAUGAACGUGUGAAAAGAAAAAUAAAAGGCCAUGGGACUUUAGAAUGCGACGAUUUGGCCAAAUGAAAUUUAAAAAGGGUUUUCAAAUAUAAAAACGGAGUCGCCACUUGGUAUAGAUUUAGGGUGUACCAAGUCACCCAAAAAUGAAUUUUUAAAGACAAGCAGUAAAAAACCCUUUUUAAAACGACUCCUAGUCCACGUAAACCAACGAAAAAGGUUCGGGAGUCACAUUUGACGAAGGGGAAGGCAAGGAUAAAAAUCCAAGGCACCCCUUCGACCUAGCCAAGGCUAGUUGCGUGAUUUAGCCCCACCUUUCCCAAUUUUUCUACCAAAAAUAUGUAUUGCAUGUUUUGGAUUUGACUAGAUGAAUGCAAAAAGAAAGAAAAAAUGCAAACCUAAAUUCUAAAAUGUCUCUUGUAAGGUUUUUGGUCCCAACCACAUGAGUUGCGGCGGCCAAUGAAGGAAAACCUUAUAGAGGUCGAUUAAUGCAAAUGAUGGCUAAAGUGCAAGUGUGCAAGUGUAUAAAAAGAUGCACGUGUGAAAUUGUAUAAAAAAUCCAAGUAUUUGUGUGCAAGUGUAUGAAAAGGUGCAUGUGUGAAAUUGUAUGAAAAAUCCAAGUGUUUGUGUGCAAGUGUAUGAAAUAUAGUGAUAAGUGCAUAUAGGUGUAAUUAAGUGCAAUUUUGUGAAGUAGAAAUCAAAAUGAACAAUAAGGAAAAGAAAAGUGAUGAGGAAAUGUGAAUUGGAAAAAAAUGAGUAAGUGAUAAAUGAGAAUGAAUGAACCUAAAGGAAUGCAUCAGGUCGGGUAUGGGAAUGACUCCUAACUUUUUCGACUUCGAUUUUCCCUUUGAUUAGAAAGCAAAACUAGCGUGCUAAGGCUAUCGAGUAGCCACACUCGCUCGUUUCCCUUAUCAGAAGGGGACUCUUCAGGCAAAUGUACCCUAACUAGCAUGAGAUGCAAGACCUAAAGUGAAGGGAAAGGGGAAUCGAGGAGCAUGCCAGAUGAUAAAACUAAGGAAAAAUGCAUGAUAUGUAGUGAACACGCAAAUAUGCACUAUCGAAAGGGACGGCCUAUUGGGUCUAGCGUUGGACUAGCCCUUUCUAUGAAUUCCUACUAGCAUUGGACUAGUGGAAACGGAACGAAGAACCACAACUAGCGUUGGACUAGUGUGGUGACGGGAAAGGGGGCCACAACUAGCAUUGGACUAGUGUGGUGACAUCCAUUCAUCUAUCACAUUCAUUCAUGACUAUAAAAAAGCGAGUAGACAUGCGAAUCACUUAUAAACACGUAGCACAUAACACUUAGCAUGCUUGACUAGAUGCAAAGGCCUAAUAAAGCAAAUUAACACAUAGCAACUAAGCAUGCAAGACACAUAAGGCAAUUAAGGCCUUUAACUAUUACAAUUGCUAACUAAAACAAAAGGGGAAAGGGAAAAUGGACCAAAUUGCUCGCCAAGCCCUAUCUAUUACAAGCCAAGAGGUGUACACAUACCCCAUAAUGAAUAACGCAAAUAAAAGGCAAAAGUAAAUGAAGUAAAUGAAAGGAAUUAAAGAAAGGCAAAGAAAGCAACGUAGACAUGCAAUUCACACUUAGCACGUUGGAUCACAUAGGAGAAAUGAAAAUCAAGGAGAUAGAGGUUACCUCCCUUGCAAUUGGCGCCCUAAUGAAGUAAAAAUGGCUUCAAAACAAUAAAAAGGUCAAGGUACCACUUUAUUUAAGAAAAAUUGAAAGAAAUGUGCAAAACAAAACUCACUUGAUCGUAAAGUCCCUAAAGUCAUGACUUAAGCGCACUUGAAACAAAGCAUGGUAGUCAAUUGAAACAAACAAACGAUGAAGUUGCACAAAUUAAAAUUACCAAGGACCAAAUUGAUGAAAUUAUUUAAUUGAUUGGGUCCUAGUGGAACAAGGAGAGACUUAGGGGCCAAAGUGCAAAUUUUUCUUUUGGUUUUCAUGCAUGCAUACGUAGAAGGCUGAAACCUUCUUUACUUUCUGCAAAAUUCUGCUGCAAGCUUUUGCAGCUUCAAACCAUGCGUAUUUCAUACCAGAAAAUGCACAAAGUUCAUUGUUUGUCAACCCAACUCAUAUGAAUCCCAAUAUCGCCAACUUUAAGCAAUAAUUAUCUAUCAUUAGUGAUCCCAACAGAGAGCAUCCAAGCAAGAAAACAAGGAAAGAAAACAGCCGAGAUUCUCAAUCUUUGUUCAAAACAUCAAACCAGAAUAUUCAAUAAAACAUGCUAAACAACCGGACCACAAAACAACCAAAAUAUUAGACAUCUGUACAAGGAUUUUCAAGGCAACAUCAUACAAUCCAUGAGGAUGCUUGCUGCAAUUCAAACAUGCUGCCAUUUCACUUUCGCACCCAAACUUCAGAUUCAAACACACACUUCAAUCAAACUUUCUUCACUAAACAUCAAAGCUCUGAUCUAGAUAGUAAGACCACUGGAAUUAAACAUCUAAACAUGCAAAAAUGAACCCCAGAAUAGGAUCACUAAGCUUUAUAGCUUUCUCCUUUAUGAUACCCUUUCACUGCAACAUUUCUGGUUGCUGUUUUUUCUUACUCCGGCACUGAACAAUGCAGCAACCAUUUACGCGCAUGAAUUCCAACAAAAGCCAACCAUUUGCCAAUUUAUCACCAUAAAAGGCAAAGCAAACAGAUCAAAACCCAUUAAAAUCCACAACCCAGCGUUGGAAAUGCAACUGCCUAUCCUAAAAAUCCCACUAUGCGGCGGGGUAAUAAAAUGCAGCGCAGAAAAAGAGAGCUUGCUGUAAGCAUAAAGUUCCAACCACACACAUACAUGCUUGGAAAGCUUAAAGAAUUAGCAUCUGAAGAAGCCCAGGGUUUAAAGGAGAGAAGCUUACAGUGACUUCUCUUUUGUUAAAAAUCUUGACUGAAAAUGGCGUAGUGAGUGAUGACCACUUCUGAGGAGGUCAGCAGAUGCAAUAAUUUCUGGGCUCGCCGAAGAAACAAACCAGAUUUCGUCUUCCUCCUACUGUUCCUCCGUAGCCUCCUGUUUUUGUCUAUUCUCUCAACCUCUCCGCCGUCACCCAGUUUCUCUGGUUUCUUUUUUCCCUUCUGGUUUGCAACCGUCACUCAAUCAUUCUCUCGUUUGGCUCCACUUUUGCUUCGGUGAGGAGCUGCUGGUGGCGAUGGAAGGCUGGCCGUCGUGAAGGUGUUGUCAGCUCCAGUAGCAAAACCCUCCUUUUCUUCUCACCGUAGCCCUCUUCCCUCUCUCUCCCAUUUUUCUCUCAAGCUUCCUGCCGUCCACUGUCUCUAAAACCUCCCCUCGCUGUUCUUUUCUUCUCCAGUCCUUCCCGUUAGCUCCCCUCUGGUUUCUUUUGCUCAACCUUUGCUCGAUGCUCCCCUCCUCCGACUCUCUCUCCCAGUUCUCUCUAUCCGUCCCCCAAAACUCCUUCUUGCGGCUACCUUUCCUUUUCUUUUUAUAUCCGAAUCCCCAACCCUAAACAACUUUCACAAAUUGCAGCUAAAGGGCUGCCUGGUCCUCAUUUUGCAGGCUGCGGCAAUACGCAGUUUCAUGCCGCGUUUCUUUUCCUUUUUUUUUUUUUUUUAAAAAAACUUAAAUAACAAAAUUGAAAAUAAUUAAAACCAGAACAAUUUAAUUAAUAUUAGAAACAACAAAAUGCAAAUCCAAUCUUCCUUUUUCAUUUUCCAUCAUUUUUCUUUUUUUCCCUUUUUCCAAAGAAAUUCUAUGCUAAAAACUAAAACUAGAAAUUAAAACUAAAUUCGAAUAAAACUAACACGCUAAAUACAAAACUAAAAAUAAACAGUAAAUGAAAUUACACCAAAAAUUUGGUGUCUACAGGACAGGUUAUCAAGCCAAUAAAUGGUCAAUCAAUCAUUUUAUCCAGCAAAAAUUUCUCAUCAAAUUCCAUGAGUAAGAAAGGAUGAUAAGAAGAAAGGAUGAAGGAGUUUUCUUGCUCUCAACUCUCUCUCUCUCGGCUACUCACUUGCUGAAAUGGAAAUGAGAUGGUCUUGGGAUAGUCUUGGGAUAGUAUAGUUGAAAGUGGGUGAGAUUGGCGAAAGUGAUUAGCUAAAAUGAGAGGUGGAAGGUUAGUGGAAGCUUAGGAGAUGUUUGGCCAAGUGAAAUUGUGGAGUUUUGGGAUAAAACUUUGCAUGUUAGUUUUUUUUUUUUCAUUUCCUAGUUUUGGUAAACACAAGUGAUAUAUAUAUAUAUAUAUGUGUGUGUGUGUGUGUGUGUGUGUGUGUUUAGAUUAAACACUAUAACGUCACACUCUCAAGUGAUAAAAUAAUUAAACACUUAAAUUCAUCAAUAAUAAGGUAUAUAAAAAUUAAAAUAACAGCAUGAAAUUUAUACAAAAUUUUCGGGUCCUCACAUGCAAUGCCCUCUGAAUUAAAAAAAUGCUCCUUAGAAUUUUAACAUAUUGUGAGCGAUAUUCUCAAUCCUUAUUAUACAUUCAUAAUUGUCUACAUUGAUUAUGUAUUAAUAUUUUUAAACUCUACAGAUCAACACUUUAAACAUUUAAAUACUUUCUUUAACAUAGUGAAAAAUAAAGGAUUAAUAGUCUCAGUUACAAAAAUGAAAUUAUUUGCAAUUAAGGUAAGAUUUUUAGGGCAUGACAUUUAUCAAGACACAAUUAUACCUAUUAAUAGAGAGUUAGCCUCUGCAAAUAAAUUUUCAAAUGAAAUUAUUGACAAAAAUCAAUUACAAAUAUUUUUAGAAUGCUUAAACAACAUGGCAGAUUUCUUUUCAAAAUUAAGACAAAUUUGUGCAUCAUUAUUCAAGGGGUUACAAAAGAAUCCUCCAACAUGGUUUGAUCAACAUACUCAUAUAGUUUGCAUGUUAAGAAAAAGGUUAAAUCAUUACUAUGUUUAAAUAUUUUCAUGAUAGCAUAAAUAGAUGCCUCCAAAAUAGGAUAUGGAGGAAUUCUAAAACAAAAAUUUUCAAAUCCACAUGAACAAUUAGUUAGGUUUCAUUCAAGAGUUUGACUUGGUCCUCAAAAAAAAUUAUUCUACUGUCAAGAAAAAGAUUUUAUCAAUGGUGCUUUGCAUUUCAAAAUUCCAAAAUGAUUUGUUAAAAUAAAAAAUUCCUUUUAAGAAAUGAUUGCAAAUCAGCAAAAGAGGUUUUAUAAAAGGACAUACAAAAUAUAGUUUCAAAACAGAUUUUUGCCAGAUGUCAAGCUAUUCUAUCUGUAUUUGAUUUUGAUAUUGAAUUUAUCAAAGGGGAAAAUAACUCACUUACUAAUUUUUUAAUAAAAAAAAGUUUUUUGCAACCCAUUUUUCAAAAUAAAAGAGAUGAGUUAUGCAAAAAUAGAUUUUAGUUUCAAAAAAAUAUAAAGAAAAAAGGGCCUAAAAUGGGACUUUAGAAAAUGCGGCGGUUUAGGCCCAAAAAAAUAGUCUAAAAGGGCUUUUUAGAAAAAGGGACUCGCACUUGAUAUUGAAUUUAGGUGUACCAAAUCACCCAAAACUGUUUAUAAUUAAAAAAAUGAAAAAAAAAACCUUUAAAACAAAUCCAGAUAUUCGAAAACAAAAGAAAAUGACUCAGGAGUUAUGGUUAAAAAAAGAGAAGCCAAAGAUUCGAUUGGUUCGAACAUAAAGCAGCCUUUCAACCUAAUCAAAGUCAAUUGUGAGGUUUAGUCAAAAUUUUUCUAAUCUAACUUUUAAACUUAUCACGUUUGGAUACUUUUAUAUAGAUGUAAAUCUAAACCUAAAAGGGAUAUUAAAAGGGAAGAAAUGUCCCUUCAAGGUUUAAUUGGCAACAAUCGCAUUAAUUGUAAAACCCAAGAAUAAUUCCUUUAAGAAAUCACAAGGAUGCAAAGAUAAACUCAAAGAAAAGAAAAUUAAAUCUGACAUAUAGAAGUGGUCAAAGAGUGAUGCAACAUAAUAGGUAUGAGAGACUAAAACUUGUGAGAUGAUUUUCCUUCUUAUAGAGGGGUAAUAGCAUGCUAAGGUUAGAAAAAUCAUACUUAUCCAUUUUUCAUAUUUGAAGGGUGAUUCUUCUAAUUUAGGUAAGCAAAUGAAGUAACUUAUUUUCUAAUUUUCUAAAUAAAAUACAAGUCUAAAUAAUAUAGUACGCGCAUAUAAGGAUAAGGAGCAAAUAUCAUACAAAUGAGAAAAAUAAUCUAAAAUAGGAAAAAUACAUGAAAAAUACAAUGAAUGACACACAAAACAUGCAUCUAAUACGUGAAUGACCUAAGGAUCUAGUAUUGAACUAGACUAUUUUUACAAGUCUUCACUAACAUUGGAUUAGAAAACAAACGGAGGGAAAAGUCACGACUAGCAUUGGAUUGAUGUAGUGAUAUCACGCAUCCAUAAUUUAUAAUAUUGCAAGAAAAGUGUAAAUUAAAAACAAGUAAGCACAUAGGAAUACAUAAAACAUGUAGGUGCAGAACCCUAAGGAAAGCGAAUAAAGCACACAACACAUAAGCACAAAAACCUAUCUAUUACAUUAGAGCUCUAAUUACAAUCUAAAAAAGGGAAUAUAAGAAAACAAACCUAUAUAAUCUAUCUACUAUGUUUGCUUAUCUAAUUACACUUCUUGCAAAAGAAAAUAUAACCUAAACAUAAAAUCAAACUAUUACAUUGGGGCUCUAACUACAAUCUAAAAGGGGGAAUAUAAGAAAACAAACUUAAUCUGACCUAUGUACUACAUUUGCCUAUUUAAUUACAUUUCUUGCAAAAAAAAUAUAACAUAUAUAUUAUAUUUUGGGGAUUCAAGUACCCUCUAAAAAAUUAUAUGACUUGAAUUAAAUAAAUAAACAUAAAAAUGAAUAAAAGCUUAAAGUAAAUAAAUAAAAAAACACAUAAAAUAUAUAAAUACAUAAGAGCACAUAAGAGCAUGUAAUUGGAAUUUAAAGAACAAUAGGGGUACCUCCCUUUUGAAACAGUGACUAAAUGAGGGGAGGAAGAGUUAUCUAUUACUCAAAUUCAACAAAAGUGUCAACGUAUCAAUUUAAUUGACAAUUAAUUGUUAGAGAAAAAAUAACUUAAUUCAUUAAAAAGAAAAUUACUAAUGUCGCAAGACAAAUAAUAAACCAACAUUCCAAACAUGAAUUAAGGAUUAAAAAGGCCAGGACAAUCAUAAUGAUAAAGGCAACAAAGAUUCUUAGAGACUAAAAUGAGAAAAAUAAAAAUUUUGGGGCAAAAAUAUAAUUUUUAAAAUUGGGACCAAAAUACAAAUUCUGCAAAAAUCAGUUUUUUAAUAACCUUUUAUUUAUAAUCCACUCAAAUUUAGACUAAUUGAACUACAAAAACAAUUUUUGAGCCAUCAAAUCAAAACUAUUUAUAUUAGUUACUAAAGUUGUAAAAUUGGAAGGCCAAAGUUAAUAAAUUCACUUAAACUUUCAUCAACUUGGAAAAGUUGAAUUGAUUCACUACAACAUGCAUGAACAUAAUAAAGGAAGGCCAAGAAUUCAAAAGGCAAAAUUUUGUCUAUUUUCACAAUUUUUGUGGUCUCAGUAUAAUUAUGCAAAAAGUAGGGGUCAAAUUGCAAAUAUUUCUUAUAGACUUAGAUUAGAAUACCAUAUGAAUUCAAACAAUUUUUGAAAAAUUAAAGAGUGUCUAAAAUAUACAAAAUGUCAAGAACUACACAUUAAAAGAAAAUAAAAAAAAAUUAGUCCAUGUUCAUAAAGAAAUCUCAACAUUUGGGCUAAGCCUUCUAGUCCGUGUUAAAAUUAACAGAUAACCCAGCAUAAACCCCAUGAACAAAUCCAAGAUAAAAUAAAGGUUAGCCCACACUCCCAAUCACCCAUCACUGCCCAAGGCUCAACUUAAAGAGAAGUAAACCUAUCCUUGCACCAAAGUCAGAAAGGAAAACAAAGCAAAUUACAGAAAAUAGAAGGAAAAGGAAAAACGAGAAGAAAAAGAAAAAUUUUGCAAUUGACCAGAUGUUCUACUUGGUGAUUGAAAAUUCGGAAUCUAGAAGAAAUUCCGGCCACUUGGCAAGAAUUCUCGCCAGAAAAUUUUUCAAAACUUCUAAAGUUAAAUUUUAACAUGAACACGAUCCUUACAACAUCAUGAAGGUAUCUAAAACAUCAAACAAGGUCCAGAAACAACAUAGAACAUGCAAAAUAGCAUCUAAACUUCAAAACUACAACCUUGACUCCAACUCCAUGCUGUUUUCUUAAAACUAAACAAACAUGAAUAAGAACUAAAUGAUCAGAUUACAAAAAUGGUAAGGAGCAAAACUUAUGAACACUCCCAGGUUUAGAACAUUAGUAUCAAGACCUACUAUUUUUGUCAUAAAAAAAGCUUCAACUAAAGGGGAUUUCUUAUUUUAUUCAAGUUUGGGUUUCUGUGUUGUAACAUGCUAUCGAAUUCCAAGACAAAGAGAAAUAAACAUGAAACUUAAUUGAAAGUGAACACACAAUCAAACACAAAAUUCAUAUUUCAAACUUGAAACUAAAGGAAGCAAAGUGAAAUGGUGUCUUAACCUAACAUGGCAUGAGAAUGAAAAAGAAGUUCAUGAAGAGUCAUCUCUGGUAUCUUUGAAGCAAUAUUAAACAGUGGAGAGGAGCGAAAAUUCGAAAAAAUCACGAUAGCCAAGGUUGCUUGUUUCUUCAGUCGCCAAUGAUAAGGGUUGGGAUUGUCACAAUUUCAAGCUCAAAUUUCAUGGAUUUGAAGUGACUUUUCUUGGAAACUUUCAACAAAAAAUCCCUCUACUGUAACUCUAGCAUUAGCCAAUAAAGAAAUCUCGCUAAAUGAAGCUAAAACGAAGGAGAAAGGUGGAUUAGAGCAAGGCUGGUUCAUCAGCCUCAUUACAAGGUUUUGGAAUCUUUAAAUACUGCCACUCUAGUAGGUUAUUAUUUGAAAAGUUGAGUUGAGUUUUGAAAAAAAUAGGUUUGAGCAAAAAUCUCAUAAUUGAGAUUUGUGAGCUGUCGCGAGCGAAAAGCUACGACUUCAUAUUGUUAUUGUUAAGUCUUGGGUUAAUAAAUUAUUGAGUAGUUGUUUGUGUAUUUAUUCUCCUCCUCUUCUCACAUAUUUUUUAUGUGUCAAAAUUGCUUCUGCUAUGUGCGUAUUUUUCAUGAUAACAAGUGGUAUCAAAACCCUAGGUUCAAGAAAUUGAUCCUGGGGUACCUGUGAAAUUGAAGAAUUGACCAGACUACAAGGUUAGUUCUAGGCAUUUUUGCUAUCAGAGAGUUAGGGCACAAAUUAUCAGAAAGUAUUUAGCUGAUUGAAUUAGGCCACGAGAUUGGUCCUAAAGUGUGUGAUUAAUUGGUAAAGAAUUCAACCAUAAGAUUGGUUCGAAAAUUGUUAGAUUGUUGUGAGUGUCAAGACAGAGAUUAGAGUGGAAUUCUAUCAGAUUUGUUGAUUGCUGCUGGUUGUCAGACUGAAGGAUUUGAUUGGUUAAUCACUCAGAAAGAUCAAGAAACUUAAAAGAAGAAAGAGAAAAUUUUCUGCAGGUAUAUGAGUUGUUAAAUAAUGGCAAAAUUUAAUAGAGAUCCGAUUGAUAGUGAAAAUUUUCCAUAUUGACUCCUAUAAGCGUAAAUAGAUAUACAUAUUUUGGUUGGGUUUUAAAAGUGAAAAAAUAUCUCAAACAAUGUAAUUUGGAUGAUUUUCUCAGUUGGAUUGUUGCAGGUGAGUUGCCAAAACAUGUUUUCAAGAUGAAGGCAUGAUUAUUCUUUCAAAUGAUGCGUAAAACAAUGGCAGAAAGUAUUUACAAAACUUUUGUUCGUCGUGCCAAAAUACCUUGGACAUUUUGGAAGGAUAUUUACUAUGUUUUGCAAGUGAUUGAGAAAAAUUAUGCUUUCAAACCAAAAUCUAGUUGUUGGUAUUGGUUUGUAGAUUUUGAAAAUAAUAGAUUUGUUGAUGAUAUAAGUGAUAUUAAAAAUUUGAAUCAGUUGAUAGUUUUGAUUUGAAUACCUUAUUUGGCGAAAUUUGGAGUAAUGAAUUUUUUAAGAAAAAAAUUUGGUAAUUUGGUAAAGGAAGAAGAAAAGUUUGGCUUUGUGUGUGAAGUAAAAGAAAUUGUUAUUGAAAAACUUGUUGGCUUGGACUCUCCUCAAGGUGAUGGAAAGAUAUUUAAUUUGACAGAUCUUGAUGUCAUUGGAUUUCAAAAAUAUUUUACUCCAAAAGAGUUAAUUGACAGUAUGAAAAUUUUGGAUGAUUGUAGUAGUGGUUAUUUUAAAUUAUUUGGUGAUGAUAAUUUUGGCAAAAAAGCAAUCUAUGAUUUUGUAUUCUUGAGCACUUAUGUUGGUGGUAAAUAUGAUGACUCUAGUCAUGAAUGGAUUUGUAUCAGUAUGUACUUUAAUCAAGAAAAAUUGCUGAAAAUUUAUUUGCAAAAUAUAAAGUGCGUCCAUUGCCACAAGUAAAGAUGAAGGUAAUAACUGAAAAUAAGAUGGAGUUGCAAACCGUUUAUUUGGCGAUUGAAUUUUCAAUGGAAAGUUUUGCCCGAGAUGGAGUUAGACCUAUUUCAAUGAAGAGUUUGGUUUAAGGGAGGCAAUGAAGGAAAUUAAACCAGGUUAUCUUAGUAAUUUGUUUCUUAAUUCUUUUUGGUGACUUUUUUGUUUAGUUGCUGAUAAGUGUAUAUUUUACGUGUUUUUAGUGUGUUUUAUUAGUUAGUUUUGGCGUGUUUUAGUUACUUUUAUAGCUAAUUAACUAGGGAUCUAGUGAAAGUAUGCAUUUUGUGGUUUAAAAUGUGAAAAUUGCAUUUAUAUGGAUUUUAAUAGUUAAAACUUCAUGUUUUUAUAGGUUUAAUGAUUCAAUCAUCAAAUGGAGUGAAUUGAGAAGAUAAUUGGAUGAAUGAUGAUAGUUUGAAGUGAUAAAAAGAUAAUAUGAAAUGCAACAAAGGGAAUGCAAUCAAGAACAAAAUAAGAAAGGUUUUCCACCUUUGACACCUUGUGGUAUUUUGGCUAUAUCUUGAGUUACAAGCAUUGGAUUGAGGUGAUUCUUAUACCAUUUUGAAGCUAGGAGAUAGAUCUACAUUUGGUAUGAAGAUAUCGAAGUCCAUUUCAGUCAUUUUCCAUGUCAAAAGGUCGAAAUACAGAAGUGCAUGUGCAUGGUCGAAAACUGAAAUAGAGCUCUCACCAAUUGAGAGUAUUUUGGUCAUUUCUCGGUCUACAGAGCUCUAGAUUGGAUGAUUAUUGAUGCAUUGGAAAGCUAACUCAAAGGACUACAACUUUUACGUUUUACACAAGAGCUAGUUUAGCCACCAUCAUCGAGAAAAUAUUAGUUGAAGUUGAACCAAAAACGGAGCAAGGAUGAAUUUUGCCCAGAAAGUGCAAACCUGCGAAAGCAAUACAUGGAUAGGCAAUACGCGACUUGUAGUCGCGUAUUCUUCAUUUUCUGCUGCAACUUGCUAUUUGUUCACAUGACCUUUCCAGCUCAUCUACAAGUCAGAAUUUCGACUGCAGCUGUAAAGGAGAUGCAUGGAACUUGUAGAAGCAUCAUUUGGGAAUCUCAAGGAGCAUUUACAUCAACUUUUACAACUCUUUUUGACCUUGAAUUCUCUAUCAAUAGCAGCCUUUGAAGACCAUUUUAACAACUUUGGAAGGCUAGAGAAACUCCACCAAAAAUGUAGUCUUCACUAGUUUUUCUUAGUUCAUUAGUUUAGUAGUUUAAUAUAGAGUAGUAUAGUUUAUCCACUCUUGUAUAUUGGCUAGAUUAGGAUGAAGAUGGAGAUGAAGAAGGAGGGUUGAAGUUCAUGUGACAAGGGUUAUCUCUUCUCCAACUCUUUAUCUUUUGUAUUGGGUUCUUAAGUAUGGUUAAUAUGCAAGUUUUGGAUUUGAGUUUCAAUAUGUAUUUCUAAAGUUUAUGCCUAGAGUAUGGAUGAAUAUGUAUACCCUGUGCACGUCAGUUGCUAUAUUAUAUUAAGAAAUUUUAAGUUAGUUUUCAAGCAUGUUUCGAUUUACAAUUGUAUUUGAUUUAGAAGAUUUUGGAGUCUAUAAAUACUACCAGUCUAAUAGGUUAUUACUUGAAGAGUUGAGUUGAGUUUUGAAAAUUAGAUUUGAGAGAAAAUCUCAUAGUUGAAUUUUGUGAGUUGUCGUGAGCAAAAAGCUACAAUUUCAUAUUGUUAUUGUGGAGUUUUGGGUUAAUAAAUUAUUGUGUAUUUAUUAUUCUCCUCUUCUCACAUAUUUUUAUGUGUCACAAUUGCUUCCGUUGUGUGCGUAUUUUUUUGAGAUAACAAUUGGUAUCAAAACCCUAGGUUCAAGAAAUUGAUCCUGGGGUACCUAUGAAAUUGAAGAAUAGGCCAGACUACAAGGUCAAUUCUAGGCAUUUCCGCUAUCAGAGAGUUAGAGCACAAAGUUGUCGAAAAGUAUUUAGUUGAUUGUGACGACCUGGCCUUCUCCAAGGGGGUACCCUAAAAGUUGGCGGAUCGUCUGUCUGACUCUCGUUAGGACUCACUAAUUUCACAUUAAAUUCAGAGAUAACAUUUGAUAAACUCUCAUUAAUCUUGCAUUAACUUCAGAGAUAACAUUGUGGUAUGCUAAAACCACACGUUCAAAUCUUUUACAAUGCCAAGUUUAAUACAAAACUUCAGCCGUGGUAUGAUACGAUACUUUACAAUCACAAAAGACUUCAUGUUAACUCACUAAGCUCUCUCGUUCGUUUCUCGACCACCAACUCCUAUCAGGAAAACAAAACUAAAGGGUUGAACUAAAACUCAGUGAGAUUUCCAUGCAAGUAACAUUCAAUUAAACAUUUAAACAAGUAGCAAAAUUAGCAAUCAAGGAACACUUCACUAAAUGAAUUAGAGAACACUUCACUGAACAAUCACUUUUAAAUGAUACGGUGCUCGCAUUAGAGCCACUUCAAUGCACUACAUACUCCACCGAACCCCUCCUUAUAUUCUCCAAAACAAUAAACACUUCCCUCACUUAGAUGGCCAUAUCAAUAUCAGUAAUCUGCUACUCCGUGGUAAUACUCGAGCGUACCGAAACACUUAUCCAAAGUUACCGUCCUACCCGACCAAACCCUUUGCUGGCUCGAAUAAUCCGUUGAACAGAGGGUUUUGGGGCCCAGUUCAGCCGGUGUGGUAAAGUACACAUGCGGCUUACAGUCAUGCACACUUACAAUAACACUUGAUCAAUUAUCAACCUUCAAGUUCAAACUAAGUCAAGGGCGAUAAAGUACACUCCCGACUUAGAAGGCGAGGGACAAUUGAGAUACACUUUACAAUGAAUCACUAGCAAUAUUCCAUAAUAAGCACAUUUAUCACAUAAUUUCACUUAAGUAAACAUAAACAGUUAGACACAUAAAUUCAGAAACACUCACCAAGUUUCCAAAUAAAUUACUCUUGAGCCUCGAGUUUGUUUCCUGGCUCACAGCUAUUUCCUGGGACAAGUUAACAAUUUCAAAGUAAAUAUAUAAUUUGUAGGUGAUCACUUAUUAUUCUUAUCUUAUUAUUUAAACUAUUAAAAUCAAGUUUGACCUUAAAAUACAAAUAUAACAUACUCAGUAUUUAUUCAUCAUUUUAUUUUAAUACUUAUUGAUUUUAUCAUUUGUUACCUUAUAUGUUAAACAUAUUAAAGUCAUGUUUUAGUUUAGAACAAGAUAUAACAUAUUCAAUAUUUAUUGAUCAUUUUAACCAAGAGAUAUACAUGUUUUCCAAGGUUAUAAUUUAUUUAAAGUAAGAUUACACCAUUCCCUACUCUGUAUUCUAAAAUAAAAGUAAAUAAACUUUUCAUCCUUUCCUUUUUAAUUCCGAACCAAAUUCUAAGCUACCUAUGAUUUAAGUUUUGUAUCCACUCAUUCGUUUUUAGUUUUACAUCUCUUAUAUGCUUAUGAACGUAGUUUUGUAACCAGGUAGCUAGAAUGCAAGAUUUUAUAAAAGUUCAUUUUUCCUUUCAUCCGAUCCCAUAACAGGAUUUCAGCUCAAAUGUUCCUAAACCUAUAAUAACUUCAUCUUUUAAUUGCUUAAAAUUUAGUCACCUAAUAUAUAUUCCAUUCAAGGUGAUUAACUCAUAAUUUUAGCAUGUUGACUGAUCAUAUCAUAUCCAAGAUCUGUCAUCUACAAUUACCACCAUUAACUAAGCUUCCUACCAAUGUAUCAGCCCCAUAUUCAAUAUGUUUUCCCUUAAAUCUUUCCUUUCACUCUCAUGUUCCAACUAGCCAGGUUAGUUACAUUUAGCAAGCUACAAGGUAGCCUUAAAUAGAACGUAUAAAGUUGACAACUAAACUCAAAGGCUGCUCAAGACUCUCACCCUUCUCUCGGCCAUGAUGUACUCCAACAACUUAAUUCACAGCUUUUACUCUCUAAUUACUUCAGUUAACUCUAACUUAUGGUGCCAACAUGAUUACUAAUCACAGAGCAACCUCAGCUAUCAUCCGUGGACGUUUACUGAUGUAGAAACUGAAAGAAAAGCUGUUCAAGAGUUAAUUUUUCCCUUUCCAGCAUCACGGCAGAAUGCCUCAGCUUCCUUUUACCAAACUCAGCUGGUUUUUCCCUUUCCAUUCCUCCUCAGUUUUUUGUUCCAUAUCAUUGUACAAAGUAUAUUGAUUCAAUUACAAAUUAGCCUAAGCAAAACAGGGCAGUUCAUGACCAAAAUUCAAAAGGAAAACUGAAUGAAACUCAGCUCUGCGCAAGGCUGCAAAAUCUGAGGUACAGCAGCUUGCAUCAGAUUUCUUUCAUGUACGGUUCUCUCCACUUCAUGCUCACUGACUCCUACAACUAACCUCUUAUAAACUGGAGAAAGAAAAAGAUAAGCUGUUGCAUGCACUUCUUAACGUUAUUAUCCCAAGAAAUGUUGAUAUCAGUUGCAAGUUCAAGCUUAACACUCACUUUUCUGCAAUUUCUCUGAAAUUUUACAGUUGCUGCCCGACAUUUACUUUAGCCACAAGCUCAAAUUUCUAGCUAAAUUCAACAUGCAGCUGGUGUUUAAAGAUCUUACCUCUUUUCCUCUAGAGUUCGAUAAUGGCAGGCUGCUCUAACUCUCUCUUUGAUUCAGUUCCUCAACUCUUGCACCAGCUAUCUUUCCCUUCCUCACGUUUGAUUCGUGGUGUUGAGGUUACAGACAGGAGAAAUGAAGUGAGCCAAUGUUUAUCUCUCUCUCCCUCAAUCUCUCGGAUGCAGGCUGGUAGUAAUGUGAAAUCAGAAAUGUUUUCUUUUCCUCUCACUCGGUUGGGUUUUUGAGAUAAAUGGGUGUGACCGAAUCUCUCUCUCAGUUUUGUUCCUAAUGCUUGGUUGGUGGGAAGAGAAUUAAGCUUACUUCUUCACUCAGCUGAUCACUCAAUGUUUCUCCAUUCGGUGGAUGAUUAUUCCAAGAUUUCCCUCAUUCAGU
This 30518-nucleotide long non-coding RNA is filed under the name Coffea arabica (coffee). RNAcentral describes it as "long non-coding RNA (CARA_LNC004737)". The record is from RNAcentral. Lineage: Eukaryota; Viridiplantae; Streptophyta; Magnoliopsida; Gentianales; Rubiaceae.